RNAcentral lists this small RNA (77 nucleotides) under Xanthomonas sp. NCPPB 1560. RNAcentral's name for it is "sX9 sRNA". It matches the Rfam family "Xanthomonas sRNA sX9". Lineage: Bacteria; Pseudomonadati; Pseudomonadota; Gammaproteobacteria; Lysobacterales; Lysobacteraceae. RNAcentral also lists the same sequence under 6 other names. The record is from RNAcentral.
AUGGAUCGCUCCGUACACUCCGGUUCUGAGCGCGUCAUCCACACCUACCUGACAACUGCUCGCUACGUUUGUUACCC